GAUGAACGCUGGCGGCGUGCCUAAUACAUGCAAGUCGAGCGAACAGACGAGGAGCUUGCUCCUCUGAUGUUAGCGGCGGACGGUGAGUAACACGUGGAUAACCUACCUAUAAGACUGGGAUAACUUCGGGAAACCGGAGCUAAUACCGGAUAACAUGUUGAACCGCAUGGUUCAACAGUGAAAGACGGUCUUGCUGUCACUUAUAGAUGGAUCCGCGCCGCAUUAGCUAGUUGGUAAGGUAACGGCUUACCAAGGCAACGAUGCGUAGCCGACCUGAGAGGGUGAUCGGCCACACUGGAACUGAGACACGGUCCAGACUCCUACGGGAGGCAGCAGUAGGGAAUCUUCCGCAAUGGGCGAAAGCCUGACGGAGCAACGCCGCGUGAGUGAAGAAGGUCUUCGGAUCGUAAAACUCUGUUAUUAGGGAAGAACAAAUGUGUAAGUAACUAUGCACGUCUUGACAGUACCUAAUCAGAAAGCCACGGCUAACUACGUG
Molecule: ribosomal RNA, 496 nt
Filed under: uncultured bacterium
Lineage: Bacteria
Description: partial 16S ribosomal RNA
Rfam family: Bacterial small subunit ribosomal RNA
Source: RNAcentral